GUGUGUUGUUGAUAGUUGCCCCACGUCUUUAUGGUUGACUUUCUCAUAAGCUGAAGUUGGUAUCUUUUUAAGGCGACUGCCGUGUGACUGAUUUUUUCUAGGAGCUAAGGUAGAACUUAUCUCUUCUUCUUUAAGGCCAUCUCCAACCACAACACCAUUUUGCACCAUUUUUUGGUGCAAAAUUGCUCCAACCCAACACCAAACUUUGCACCAUUUUGCACCAAAAUGGUGCAAGUGUAAAAUGCCAAUUUUGCCCUUAUUUUACAUUUCCCAAAUAAAUUUGUUGAGGGUAUUUAUGUAAUUUGUGCUAUAUAUUUUUUAAUACAAUAAAUUAUUAUUAUUUUUAUUAAUAUUAAUAAUUAUUUGUGUUUAAAAUAAAUUUUAAAUGUAAGACAUAAUAAUUAAUUAAUUAA
RNAcentral lists this long non-coding RNA (413 nucleotides) under Olea europaea subsp. europaea. The record is from RNAcentral. Lineage: Eukaryota; Viridiplantae; Streptophyta; Magnoliopsida; Lamiales; Oleaceae.